GUAAAAAAAAAAUUAAAUAUUUUAAUUAUCAUUUUCAUUUUUCAUCGUUCCUCUCCAUUUCCAACCAAUUUAGAAAAAAAAUAUUUUGAAUUAAAAUUUCUCUUCAUUUUUCCCAUCCUCUUCUUUUCUCUUCAGUUCUCCCUUAAUUCUAUUUGAUGUUCAAAUAAAAAAAUUUAAAAUAUUUAAAUAUUUUAAUCAUCAUUUCAUUUUUCUUUGUUACUCUCCAUCUCUCACCAAUUUAAAGAUAAAUAUUUUAAGUUAAAAUUAUUCUUUAUUUCUCCCCUUCCCCUUCAUUUCUCUUCAAUUUUACCUUCUAUUCGAUGUCCAAUAAAAAAAUUUAAAAAGAUUAAAAUUCUUUUAUUUUCCCUUCUCUCCAUUUCUCUGGAUCCAAGCAAAGGGAUAAAAAAAAUAAAAACAAUAAUAAUAAAAAAUAAAGUGCUGCUGCCUGCUGAAGUAAAUAUGGUGUAAGGUAAAAGGAGUAGCAGAGAGGAGAAGGAGAGAAGGUAAGAAAAAUUAAAAAGAAAAAAUUAAAAAAAAAUUGAACUGCGCAACUGCUGAAAGGCUGCGCCAUGUGAGACUUGAAAGUAGA
RNAcentral lists this unclassified non-coding RNA (589 nucleotides) under Hevea brasiliensis (rubber tree). Lineage: Eukaryota; Viridiplantae; Streptophyta; Magnoliopsida; Malpighiales; Euphorbiaceae. The record is from RNAcentral.